RNAcentral lists this long non-coding RNA (8563 nucleotides) under Homo sapiens (human). RNAcentral's name for it is "non-protein coding lnc-FBXO33-2:7". Lineage: Eukaryota; Metazoa; Chordata; Mammalia; Primates; Hominidae. The record is from RNAcentral.
AGUUCAGGCGCGAGGCAAGCAGCCGAGGUCCGGGGCUGCGGCCGCGGCCGGGGCGGACCCGGGAGCUGGGCUUCCCAAAGCGUCGCGUGUGGGCAACGGCGGCCUCCUGGCCGCGUGGAACUGAGCCCUGCGCUGCAGCAUGAAGGCGGCGGCGGCGGCGGCGGCGGGCGCGCGGCCGUGAGCUCAGCCCGCGCUGCAGUGACGGGAGCGGCCGUGUCGGCCAGACCCCGAGAGUCCGUGAGACCCCGGCCGGGGCCGCUCCGCUGCUGUCAGCCCUCGGGCCUCCCAGCCAGACUGGUUCUGAACCGAUUUAUCAGGGGGUUGCGGAGAGGGCCGGCGAAGCGCCAGGAAAUCCCCAGGCUGAGGAGGCGCGGGGGCGUUGCAGGAAGGGGGAAGGGAAAAGGCAGAAAACCUGGAGAAUGAAAGCGAACUUCCAGGGGCGUCCCCAGCCUCCUGCAAAAGGGCAAUUUGCUGAUCGCCCACUUCCUCGCAGUUACGGGAUAGAGAGAAUCAUCACUGAGUCAAGCUUCGGCUGCUUAGGGCGGUGGGAAAAGUCAUUAUCUAUAAUAACCCGCCGGAAAUUUUGAGGAGAGCUACUGACUUGGGGGUUUCAGUCAUCUGAGGCUGGCUUCCGCUGUCCCCUUAGUUGUGGGUGGUGAUUUGCUUACUAAUCAGAUGGGAGCGGAUUCUGAAAAGAACAUUUAUAUUUGGGAAUCAACUCAGCUCAGCAUCAGACAUUACGAAUACUGCAGUUGGUCACAUUUUACUAUGUGAAGGGCAGAAAGGGAGCCCAACAGUCUUCAUAAGCCAGACCUAGUCUCUAAGGUCACCGGCACAGACGCAGGGUCUAAAGCAGGAAAGAGGUGCGACUGGAAAGGAGGUUAGACAGGGCCCUGCGGGAAUGGAUCUGCCCGGAGCCCUCGCCUGGUUUUGCUUGAGACUCCGACAAGACUCCCAAUGCUUCUCUCCCCGACCCUAUCCCCACUCCCUCCAUCCUGGAAAAGCCAGUGAGCAAAGUUAACUCUUUCUUCUAAGAAACCCUGAGUGAAAUCUUGCUCUUCCUUUCUGCUAGAGUCCUGAAACCCUUUCGCUUCUCAUUGUGGGUUCACCAGCACGUGGUCUUCGGACACUGAGAGCACCUUCGCUCUCAGCUGUGAUCCUAGCUAGCCCAGACACCAGUCUGUACCCAAAGGAAGAGUAGGAAGUUGCAAAGGGAAGCUGGCUAACAAGGGCUUCUUCUGCCCUACUUGGCAAAGGCCCAUACGGGUGGCCUCCGUGGAUAUGGAGCUCCUUCAUUUUGUUCCAAAAAGAGCUCUGCCAGGCUUUACCAUUGCCCUGGAGGUGCACAGGCGCCCGUAUACUCGAGCACAACCAUGGGCUCACCCCAAGCGCGCACACCUGCACCCACGCGUAAGGAAGAACCACACAGCUAUCUCUGUCGGGGAAGAACACGAGGAGUGAAGUGCUUUAGGUGGAAACUCCUCACAUCUCCUUUCUUUCCUCUGCUCCCCCUCUCUGCCCCUGGUACUCCGGAUCCAAUCCUUGGCUUAGGAAUCCACUCAAGCCACGUCUGGCUGCUUUGUUCCAGAGGAGCGCAGCUCCGAGACUGCACUUCAGCGGUGCAGCCUCCCUCCAGGUCGGCGAGCGGCGCCAGAUCCGGGACUUCAGGGUCUCCGCGGGAGCUUAGGAGGCUCAGGAUCUGAGUUGGAGAGCUGGAAGGCCAAACUCCGAGCCGCUGAGGGACUGCGCAGGAAGACCACAGAAAUAAACCAAAGGGACACCGCGGACAGAUGUACCAGAGGACACCACUGAAGUCCAGGAGAAUCUCCACCAAAACCAUCAGCGUUUUCCUUGUAGCUUUCUGUCCCUCGAAGUGGAAAGUUGAGGUUUCUGAGAAGUCCACGGAGAGAACCUGCAGCAAACUGAAGCCACAGACUCCGAAGGCAUAGGGAGAAAAAAUGCUUCCAUCCCCCUUUCACUUUAAACUUGAUCGCUUCUGGGACUUCACUGGAGGGCGGUGGAGUUGCACCAACCUGGAGUACAGGCAGAUCCCAGCGAGCACUUCCAAGUACUUUAGGACGUGGGGGUGACUCUUUUUUCUUCAGGAUUGUCCCACUUGCCACCCUUUCCAGCUGAGCUGAUAGGAACCAAUGAAAGUCUAGGCGAUGAGGAUUUUCCGUUACCUCAGGGAUCAAAGUAUAAAAUGUUGAAUGAGAAACCCGAAGACCUUGCAUCGCUGGGCUGAAUAACUUGUUUUCUUUUUUAUGGUGUCCAGACUGAGGUAGGGAGGGGACACACUGACCUAGCUGUAAGAAGUCAAGGGUUGGGACAAAACAAAGUUCAAAUAUAUACUGGAAUUUGUGUGUGUGUGUGUUUCAGAAACUGUGUGUGUGUGUGUGUGUGUGUGUGUGUGUGUGUGUUUUCAGCUUGAGAAAGAUGAAAUCACGUUUCCUUAAUGCUGGGAGUAAUAAUGCUUAAUGCUUAACUUUUCAUUGUUCUUUCAUGUUUCAAGCCCUACCAGGCCCAGGAAAACACUUCUUUCCGUUUCCUGUAGCCUUCCUGCGUAUCAUGCAUUAUAUUUGAAAGUGCUUUCCUCUACUUUCCUCAUUUUAUCUCAAUAAUCUCUGCUAAAACCAGAUAACUUUCACCCUCCCGGUUCAGCAUUUGCUCUUUUCCCUCCUACACAAGCUGAUUAGAAUUUGCAAAGAGAGAGGAAGAAGAAAGGUUCUAUUUUGUUUCAUGAUUGUUGCUAGAAAACGGCAAGACCUCGGGAGAGAGACCAGCAUAUUAUUUCCCAGUGGAUGUCAGAGCUAGCAAAGUUUUUUUUUUUUCUUUAAAUUUUAUUCCCUAGCAGGUCAAAAACUAGUAUGUUUGCAAGAACAAUUUCUAGUUUGCUCAUAAAACUAUUGUUAUUAGCCACUCUAAGGUUGGCAUACUUUUAAAAGUUCAAACAAGUUCCUUCUAGAAUAGGGUUCUUUUAAACAUUAACAUUUAAAAAGAAGUAAUUUUUUUCAUAAAUAAUUUAGAUUUAACUCUUUACCUCUAUAGUAUAUCUGCCUUACUUCGUUAAUGUGUCCCCUGAUUUACUGCCUAUGUCAAAGCACUUUUAAAAUAAUGUCAAUUUUCUUGUUCUCCCAGUUCAUUUUUCUGAGGACCAAUGGUGAUAAGUGUUGGUCUGCCUAUCUUCCCAGAAUAAUCCAAGAUUUGGGGAAAGAAAGAGUAUUUUGCUAAUUUCAGUUUUCUUUCACAUUAAAAAGUUCAACGUAUCUAGAACGGAACAAAACGGAGAAAGCAAAGAAUAAAGCAAAGAAACAUAUAUUGGGGAAAGGAUACUGUAUUCAGUAAAUUGUGCUGGAAAAAGUGGUAAGCCACAUGUAGAAGAAUGAAACUGGAUCCCCAGCUCUCACCUAAUACAAAAAUCGACUCAAGAUGCAUCAAAGACUUAAAUAUAAAACCUGAAACCUUGAAAAUUCUAGAAGAUAACACCAGAAAAACUCUUCUAAAUGUUGGCUUACGCAAAGAAUUCAUGACUAAGACACCAAAAGAAAAUGCAACAAAAACAAAAAUAAAUAAAUGGGACUCAAUUAAACUGAAAAGAUUUUGCACACCAAAUAAAUAAUCAGAAGAAUAAACAGAAAACCCACAGAAUGGAAGAAAAUAUUCACCAACUAUGCAUCUGACAAAGGACUAGUAUCCAGAAUUUACAAGGAACUCAAACAAAUAAAUGAAUUCAAAUAUCCCAUUAAAAAGUGUGCAAAGGACAUGAAUAGACAAUUGUCAAAAGAAGAUAUACAAACAGCCAAUAAACAUAAAAAAAAAUACAGCAUCGCUAGUCACCAGGGAAAUGCAAAUUAAAACCACAGUGAGAUUCCACCUUACUCCCGCAAGAAUGUCCACAAUUAAAAAGUCAGAAAACAAUAGAUGUUGGCAUGGAUUUGGUGAAAAUCACAUCAGUGAAUACAGAUUUGGGAAGAAAUGUGCAUAACUGGUUUCAGCUAGCCAACACGCUGGUCCCAGUAUACCACUGGCUACGGCAUUCUAAAAGUGUCCUCAUAUGUAUCUAUUAAAUAUUCAAGAACUUUGACCAAUAUAUUCUCUGCCAAAUGCUCUCAAGAAAUCUUGGUGGAGAUGGUGUCGGGGUAAGGUGGGGGUUUUUCCGAAAUGGAAUCAUGUUAAUGUGGACUUAAUGUUAAAAUAUGAAUUUUCAAAAAAAUUUGCUUUACUUUCAGUAGGCUAAAUACCUACAUAGUAAAAUUUAAAAAAAUCUGUAAUUCUCUCUUAAUUUAUUCAUUAUACUAUUAUAUGUGGUAGGCAUUUUUUUCCUGGCUCUCAUAUCAUUUGUGUUUGUUUUAUACUAAUGAAAUACAGAAAAACUCUGUAGUAUAUAGAGCCCAAUGGAACUUUUAAGAGUGAGAAUUUUAAUUUGUAUAUUAUGGAAAAGUCAUCUCAGAAAUAUUAGUUUAUAAAUAUGCAGAUACAAUUUCUAGAAUGUCAAAAAAUAAUCCUUUCACCUGAGUUGUCUUAAGUAAAUAACUUUUAGGAUUUUUAAUUGGAUUAUUUAUGUAAUCAUUAUAAAGGAGAUCUGAGGUAAAUUGCUUAAGCAUUUUCUUUAGCUUUUUGCAAGACUAAAAAUGGAGAAUAAAUAUUUGCUCAAAUAUCGAGUCAAACUAAUUUUGAAGAGAAAUCUCUAAAUACUUUAUUAAAUGACCAAAAUAUAAGAAAAUGUUUAAAAAGACUGCAAAUAGAAACACAUCAGUUUAAAGCACACAAAGAGAUAAGUGGAAAAAGUAUUUUCUCAGAACAUGCUAAAAAAAACUUAGAAUAUCCAGGAUACUGCAUUUAUUCAUCCUUACAACAUGAAUUUUAAAUAUCUUAGCGACUGUGCUAUCAUUUUCAGUGUUCUGUAUGAAUUCUUACCUUCUCAGAAGAUUAUGUAGAUAUAACAGAUACUUCUGGAAUAUAUAUCCAUGAUAAGAUUUGUCUUUUUACAGGAGAAAAGAAAAUAUAUCAAGUCCAACAGAACUUAAGAAAAUACAAUUUAAUUAACUUUAUAUGAUAUAGGCCUUGUUAAUAUUAUAUAUCAAAAAAGAAUUCUAGUUUAUAUUCUUUUGUCUGUAAGAUGGGGGAGCUGUUGCAUUAUAAAAAAUACUGGUCAGUUCCAUUCCUCUAAGCAUUUUCUUUUGAUUAAAAUCAUUUGUAGUAAAAAUGAUGACCCAAACCUUUGUAAAUGAUAUUUUAGCUGGGUUAUAAUCUAAUGAAAUUGUGAUUUUAAAAGUGCUUCAAUUACUACAACUAUAAAAUCUUGGUUUACUAGGAAUAUGUAUAAGGUGAAGUAUCCAUUAUUUCUUUAACAUCAGUAUAUAUUGUUUAACAUUCUGCUUUUGGGCUAAGACUUCCUAGGCUUUACAGAAGAGAAGUUGUUUAUCUGAACAGUGUAAAAAUAUGUGUGUGUGUGUGUGUGUGUGUGUGUGUGUAUGUGUAUAAAAAUAUAUGUUCUGUUGUUAUUUAGUUAUGUCUUCCCUGAAAACACUGAUAGAUCCAACAAGUCUCUUGAUUCCUCUUAAAGAUAAGCAAGAAGAAGAAUAAAGUAUGUCACACUUAAACUUGAGUAAAUCCAAGUUGGAAAAACAGAAGCAGAUUUUUUUUUAAUCCUACAGGAUGAAUGUUGAGAGAGACAAAAAUAUUAACACCACAUAAAUUAUAACCUAGAGAAAUUCUAAACCAGGUUGAAAACCUACGCAUAAGCAGUCAAUAAUUAUCUUACACUUAUGCAAUACAAUUUUUUAUUACAGAAAGAACUUUAGUAAUUACCUCAUGCUGUAUAUAUGGGAAAGGAGAUAAGGAAGAAAAACUCUUUAUAGUAUGCAAUUAGUUAUCUCCUGCCUUAUCUUGGUAUUUGUAGAAACACUUGGAAGUAGGAAAAGUGAACAUUUGUAUCCCUGUUCUAUAGUUUAAAAAAUUGACACACAUAAGUUAUUUUUAAUUUAUCCAGUUAAUCACCAGUAAUCAUGAUGCUUUAUGAAUGACAAUUCUUUUAUAUUUAUUCAAAAAUAUGGGGAAAAUAAAUGACAUCUGCCUAUAUAACUUAAAAUUCUUGAAGAAAAUGUGUAUAGGAAUAACUUGGUAUGAAAUGUUAUAGAAAUGUUAGUUCUUUGUCUCUUAUAGUUACAGUAAGUGGCUAAUCAUCAUGUCUACGUUUAUGUAUAAUUUAUUUACAUUUUAAAAUGUUCUAACCUUGAAUACAUAGGGAACAAAUAUCUGAUGAUAGGUGUUUGCAAGGCAGCAUCAGUGAUUUUUCUUGAUAUUUUAUCUGAAAUAUCUGAGUAUCUACUAGGAAUCUAACAUGGAAAGGUAAUUACAUAUGAUGUUGGAAGCAAAUUUGUAUACACCCUAUUUAUGGCCAAGCAAAACAGUGUAAUGUGUCUGAGCAUGUAUGUGUUCCUUUCACCAGUUUUCUUGUGGUAGAAUUUAUAAAACUGCAUAUAUUCACAAUGUACAAUGUGAUGGUUUGACGUAUAUAUACAUUGUGAAAUAAUUACCACAAUCAAGUCAAUGAACACAUUCAUCACCUCAGCGUUUUCUAAAAUUACAUUUAUCAAACUGUAUUUGAAAGUAAAUGUGUUUUCUCAUUGUUAACCACGACUUUAAAACUUUAUUACAGAUUAAUGUUAAGAAAGCUACUGAAAUUAAUUUUAGUAAUAAAACAUCUGAAUAUACACCAUGAAAUGUAUAAAUGUAUGUGCUGAUUUUAGGAGUACAACUAAAUAAGUAAUGCAAACUUACUUGCAGGAUCAUCACUUUAACUCUGUCUCUCUCUCUCUCUCUCUCUUUAUAUAUAUGUCUCUCUCAUAUAUAUGAUAUAUCUUAUACAUCUAACUAUAUAUAUGUAGAGGAAGAAAGAGACACUAUAGAGUAAUACAACCUUUCCAUUAACUGCAUAUAAAGUCAGCCUUAUAAUAAUGCCCCUGGAUUAUCUGACCCUUUAAUAAAAUGUUAUACAUAUUUAGAGACUUGGAUUGUGCCUGUUUUUACUAACAGUUGUUAUUUAAAAUAUUAUUAGUAAGUUAAUUCAUAUAAACCAUGCAGAGAAGCUGUAUAACUGUGCAUAUAAAUAGUGAAGAGAAACUGAUCUGGCAUUCAGGGAUGUUGAGAUUAUUCCAACUCCGCUGCCAAUUGGCUGUGUGUCUUUGGAGAGGUCACAUAAUAUCUCCGAGCUAUAGUUUCCUUAUCAGUAACAUAGACUAGAUGAUUUUUAAAAUUUCACUCAGCACAUAAUUUGAUCUCUAACUUAAAAGAGCUGGAAUAAAAAUCACCACUAAAAAUUAUUAGCGUUACUAUGGUUGUACUUUGUUUUUAUACAUUACAGGCAUUAAAAACUACCUAGAGUUAAUUAGUAUUCGACAAAAUUAUUUCUUACAAAUCUUACGCUAUUCUGUAACGCAUGGGUCUAAUAUGUAUUUAAUGUAGCUUUCGUACAACUGCAAAAACUUCAAAGCAUAUCUGAACUUGUGGGUUUUGUAAGACUUGAACGCUAUAAAUGAAAGUAAUGGAAAUUUUAUUAUAUUCUAUUAUCGAUUGUGUGAUUAGAGUUGUUGAGUGGUAACUCAGUGUCUCAUGUGUGUGAAAGAGAGAGAAAUGAUGACAGUUGUAAAAGCCUAAGAUACACAAGACAGAAUAGUGGUUAGGAUCAUAAGCUUGGAAAUUAGAACCGAUAUUUUACUUCCAGUGUCUGCCACAUCUCAGUGGUAUGACUUUGGGAAAGUAGUUUAAUUUCUCUGAGUUACUUCAUCUGUAGUAUGCAGAUUACAAUAGCCACCGCACAGUGGGUAUAAAGAUGAGUAAGGUUAUAUUUUUGAACACGUAGAAGAGUAUCUGACAUACAAUAAGUGUGUACCGUUAAAGUAUACUUAAACAAAAUUUAAUAUUAAUAAAAGCUAUAUAUAGGUAUAUGGUUUUCACUUUUUGUUGUUGUUGUUAUUAUUGUUUUUCUUCAGUGCUGGGAAAACUGGCUAGCCAUAUGUAGAAAGCUGAGACUGGAUCCCUUCCUUACACCUUAUACAAAAAUUAAUUCAAGAUGGAUUAAAGACUUAAACAUUAGACCUAAAACCAUAAAAACCCUAGAAGAAACCUAGGCAAUACCAUUCAGGACAUAGGCAUGGGCAAGGACUUCAUGUCUAAAACACCAAAAGCAAUGGCAACAAAAGCCAAAACUGACAAAUGGGAUCUAAUUAAAGUAAAGAGCUUCUGCACAGCAAAAGAAACUACCAUCAGAGUGAACAGGCAACCUACAGAAUGGGAGAACAUUUUUGCAAUCUAUUCAUCUGACAAAGGGCUAAUAUCCAGAAUCUACAAUUAACUCAAACAAAUUUACAAGAAAAAAUCAAACAACCCCAUCAAAAAGUGGGCAAAGGAUAUGAACAGACACUUCUCAAAAGAAGACAUUUAUGCAGUCAACAGACAUAUGAAAAAACGCACAUCAUCACUGGCCAUCAGAGAAAUGCAAAUCAAAACCACAAUGAGAUACCAUCUCACACCAGUUAGAAUGGUGAUCAUUAAAAAGUCA